GCUGACGUAGCUCAAUUGGCAGAGCGCUUCCCUUGUAAGGAAGGGGUUAAGGGUUCGAGUCCCUUCGUCAGCUCCA
RNAcentral lists this transfer RNA (76 nucleotides) under Candidatus Eiseniibacteriota bacterium. RNAcentral's name for it is "tRNA-Thr". It matches the Rfam family "tRNA". Rfam says of the family: Transfer RNA (tRNA) molecules are approximately 80 nucleotides in length. Their secondary structure includes four short double-helical elements and three loops (D, anti-codon, and T loops). Lineage: Bacteria; Candidatus Eiseniibacteriota. The record is from RNAcentral.